CAAUAGCGUAUAUUAAAGUUGUUGCGGUUAAAAAGCUCGUAGUUGGAUUUCUGUUGGGAACGACCGGUCCGCCCAUUGGGUGUGUAUCUGGCUUGUUCUCGGCAUCUUCUUGGUGAACGUUGCUGCACUUGACUGUGUGGAGCGCUACCCAGGACUUUUACUUUGAGGAAAUUAGAGUGUUUCAAGCAGGCAUAUGCCUUGAAUACAUUAGCAUGGAAUAAUAAGAUAGGACCUCGGUUCUAUUUUGUUGGUUUCUAGAGCUGAGGUAAUGAUUAAUAGGGAUAGUUGGGGGCAUUCGUAUUUAACUGUCAGAGGUGAAAUUCUGGAUUUGUUAAAGACGGACUACUGCGAAAGCAUUUGCCAAGGAUGUUUUCAUUGA
Molecule: ribosomal RNA, 379 nt
Filed under: uncultured eukaryote
Lineage: Eukaryota
Description: partial 18S ribosomal RNA
Rfam family: Eukaryotic small subunit ribosomal RNA
Source: RNAcentral